Molecule: small nuclear RNA, 104 nt
Organism: Eptesicus fuscus (big brown bat)
Lineage: Eukaryota; Metazoa; Chordata; Mammalia; Chiroptera; Vespertilionidae
Source: RefSeq, a predicted model, not a curated record
GAGCUCCCUUUGGCAGCACAUAUACUAAAAUUGGGACAACACAGAGAUUAGCAUGGCCCUUGUGCAAGAAUGACACACAAACUCAUGAAGCAUUCACUAUCUAU